AGAGUUUGAUCAUGGCUCAGAACGAACGCUGGCGGCAGGCCUAACACAUGCAAGUCGAACGCUGUAGCAAUACAGAGUGGCAGACGGGUGAGUAACGCGUGGGAAUCUACCCAAUGGUACGGAAUAACUCAGGGAAACUUGAGCUAAUACCGUAUGUGCCCGAAAGGGGAAAGAUUUAUCGCCAUUGGAUGAGCCCGCGUCGGAUUAGCUAGUUGGUGGGGUAACGGCCCACCAAGGCGACGAUCCGUAGCUGGUCUGAGAGGAUGAUCAGCCACACUGGGACUGAGACACGGCCCAGACUCCUACGGGAGGCAGCAGUGGGGAAUAUUGGACAAUGGGCGCAAGCCUGAUCCAGCCAUGCCGCGUGAGUGAUGAAGGCCCUAGGGUUGUAAAGCUCUUUCGACGGGGACGAUAAUGACGGUUCCCGUAGUAGAAGCCCCGGCUAACUUCGUGCCAGCAGCCGCGGUA
RNAcentral lists this ribosomal RNA (468 nucleotides) under uncultured Pseudomonadota bacterium. Its description in RNAcentral is "bacterial SSU rRNA". It matches the Rfam family "Bacterial small subunit ribosomal RNA", at positions 8 to 522 of the family's 1533-position model. The record is from RNAcentral. Lineage: Bacteria; Pseudomonadati; Pseudomonadota.